AAGAAUCAUAAAAUGUUUUGGUAAUAAUAGUUUCUCACAAUUAAAUAAAAAUAUCAAUUAAUUUAAAAAAGCUUCCCCCCUAUCCUAUUUUUUUGUUUUUUCGCACAGGCUUAACACUAAAACAAACUAGGGGCGUAUAUAUUUUUAUCCGUAAUAUAUUUCUGGUGAUUGCAAAAUAAUUUUUGCACUGAUUAAUAACAGUAGAUUUGCGUUGACGACUGAUAAGGUUGUAUUGUUUCUAUUUUUUUCUUUUCCAGCGAAGCCUGCAACAAAUUUUUAACAUUAAGGGAGAGGCGACCAGAAUUGAUCAAGUCACGAAAGGUGUCUGAAAGAGAUGACGGAGCCGUACGAUGUUCAUAUGGAUCCGACAUAUCUAUCGACGAGGACCCCACUACUCCAGACCAACGACUUUCUGGGUCCCACUCUGCCGGCCCCCAGAAGUCCUCAACGUGUCAGCAACCAAAACCUCCUUUCGUUGCCUCAACUUCGCAAUGUAACAGCAGAGAGUCCAGCGUGGAACCAGUCGAGAACAGCAACGAAAAAUAUUCCAUUGCUGAAAAAGGGAAGGAGGACGAGAAAGAGGAAGAGAAAUCAGUUGCCUCAACUUCGCAAUGUAAUAGCAGAGAAUCCAGCGUGGAACCAGUCGAGAACAACAACGAGAAGCGCUUCAUUGUUGAAAAAGAAAAGGAGCAAGAAAAAGAGGAAGACAAAUCCUC
RNAcentral lists this long non-coding RNA (716 nucleotides) under Nicotiana benthamiana. RNAcentral describes it as "long non-coding RNA (NBEN_LNC005530)". The record is from RNAcentral. Lineage: Eukaryota; Viridiplantae; Streptophyta; Magnoliopsida; Solanales; Solanaceae.